AGCUCAUCCAGAAUGUCCAUCAAAAGUGUAAGUUCAUAUUUUGUCAUACAUUAUUGUUCUUCUGAUUUGUCCCACAUUCCUUUUCGAUUAUCUUCACAGCAGAUUUGAAACCAUGUGUUUGUAUGUUACGUUUCGUGAACAGGUCAGAUGACGCUGAAGCAGAUGACGACAAACGAAAGUAGGAGAUAAAAGCAGCACUGAACACAUCAACAGCUAUAUAUGUGUUUCUCAAUAAUUUUGUGUAUGUGAGAUCAGGAACUAUGGAGGCAUCUAUGUGGGCUUACCUACAGACGUAAGCAACAUUCCCACAGUGCAGAUUGGAUCUCUCAGAGAGAGCGAGCGAGACUCGGCGUCCCUGAGGAAGCCACUAUGGGGAAAUCGACAAUAAUUUUAAUGAACCUGGUUUUAUGCUUUAAACAAAGCCACCUGCCAAGCUUCAAAUACAAAGCACCCAGCUCCCACUGUGAUGGGAUAGCCUUCACCAGUCCCACCAUGCACCCAGGGGUGACUGAACCAAGACAGUUCCUGCCUGGACAUGGUCGAUGUGGUUGAAAUUAAACUGCCACAGCAGCAAUUCAACAAUGAUAGAUACAUAAAAUACCAAAAUGACCCUGUUGACAACAAGGUCUAUGAUGAAAAGUGCACGAUACAUACUGUGAAAUAUGGAGGUAGUUCGCUGAUGCCACUGGCUCUAGCAGAAUAAAGUGAAGGUCCUGUUAGUGGCCAUCUCAGUCUCCUGACCGUAGUAUCAUUGAACCACUGUGGGGAGAGCUCAAACGUGCAGUUCAUGCAAAACAGCCCAGGAAUUUACAGGAACAGGAGGCUUUUUCCCAAGAAGAAUGGACCACUUUACCAUUAAAUUAUAUACAGAA
This is a long non-coding RNA of Neogobius melanostomus (round goby), 872 nucleotides long. NCBI's taxonomy places the organism in Eukaryota, Metazoa, Chordata, Actinopteri, Gobiiformes, Gobiidae. The record is from Ensembl.